Molecule: long non-coding RNA, 6949 nt
Filed under: Citrus maxima (pomelo)
Lineage: Eukaryota; Viridiplantae; Streptophyta; Magnoliopsida; Sapindales; Rutaceae
Description: long non-coding RNA (CMAX_LNC001254)
Source: RNAcentral
AUUAUAAAAAGCUUGCGAAUUGGUAAGCCUCGUUCCGACUCUUUAAGCUUAUCAACCUUACAGCCUGAGCAGUUCUCAUAAUAUUUCUUCUUCAGCAGCGGCUCUCUCACUUUCGCCUCCGCCAUACUUGAAAAAUUUUCAGCUCAAGUAAUCGUCUUAGUCUAUGCAAUCCAAUUUCAAUGCCUAAAUAUAAGUACUAGAAAAUAAGUAACAAAAUCAAUAUGCUUAAGGAUAUAGUAGAACUAUAUAAGUGAUCAUUUAAAGAAUUUUCAAUAGAAUUGUAAAAUCAGUUGAUUUUGCAGCUGGGUCUGUCACCACCAUGGUAAUUAAAAUUAUUGGAUCCCAUGUAAAACAAAAUUUUUUCAUUACAUGCCCUCAUUGCUGACGUCCAAUUAAUCAUUACUCUUAUGAGAAUAAUUUUUGGUGACAAGAACGGCGGCAUCCUAGGACGUGACAAAAUAGUCACAAAAAUCCCUUAUUUUAAAAAAUGAUCAUGAAAAUUUAUCCACGGACACACAAAUUCAGGAUCUAUGUAACUAUUUUUAAUUACAAAAAGAGGUCUAUAUAUAUAUUUGAAAAUAAGGGAUAUUCAUGAUUACCAUGUUAAGCCACGAGAUAUCAUGCUGUUUUUUUUAUUUUUCAUUAAAUCGUUGUUACACAAUUCGACAUGUAAAAGUAAUUUAUUUUUUUUGAGAGAUGGUAACAAACAUAGUGACAAAACUAUCAUAGUACAGUCUAAUGAUGAAACUAAUUGUUAAUUAAUUAAUAAAAAUACUAAGUGACUGUAGCGGUUCCGGUCACAGUCACAGUCAAAUACAAUUAGGAUAAUUUAAUUUAAAUAAUGUGUAAUUUAGCGUUAGCCCCAAUUGUUUCGACAUUUUGCAUUGUGCCCCCCAAUCUUCCGACCAUGUCCACCACCCUCAUUUCUUUCAAAUCUAAUGUUAACGGAAAGAAGGGUAGAAUGGUAAUUAACACAAGAUUAAAAUAAUAUAUAUAAUUAAAAAAAACCCUUUUUCCUUCGCCGCCUCUAUAAUUUAAUUUUGGGUUUGAUAUCUUUAGUUUUAAGAUUUUUGAUUAUUGGGUUUCUUUUUAUCGAAUUUUCUUAGUAUGAAUUUAUUUUGUAAUAGAAUUUUACAAUGAAAUUUGCUCUCAGGGAUUUUGGUAUCAUUAGUUUAGGGUUUCUUUCUAUUGGGUUUUAUGUGGGAUUAUUGGACUUAUUUUGUAAUGUACUGAUGAAUGUGUGUUUGAUUUUUUUCUUUCACAUUGGAAUCAUGCUUUGCCUUUGAUUUUGUAAUUUACUAGGUUUAUAAUCUUGGGUUCGUAAUCCGGAAAAAAAUCGUUUCCAUAUAAUUUUAAAAAUAUUAUAAUAAAUUUUUACUUUUUGAUUUAAAUUUUAUUAGUUGUAAGGGUAUUUUAAUACUUAUAUACCCAAUUCAUUUCAAAAUAGGGGUAGUAUAGUCUUUUAAAUUUAUAACAGCCUAAAUAGUUAGAUUAGUUGAUUUUUUAAUAGAAAUAGGGGGAGGUGCACAUGGUCAAAAGAUGUGGGUGCGCUGUGUGAAAUACUGAACAAUUGGGGGCUGAUGCUUAAUUAUCCUUAAAUAAAUUAUUAGUUUAAUGGAAGGAGCAAAAUUCAGGAAAAGAGGAAUCAAACUGCGAAAGGAAUUAGGAAACCUGAAAAGAAAGAAUGAAAAUAACUUUUUUUUUUAAAUUAUUUAUUUGGACAUUGUGACAAACAAGUGAUGUGCAUUGUUAAUUCUGAUUACCCCAAAAUGUCAAGUCUUGAAAAACGACAACAUUACAUGAUUCAUGAGAAGCCUAUCACUUUGAGAUUAAUUUAAUUAAAAAAAAGUUCCGUUUGCUUAAUACUAAAAUGUCACGCGCAAGUUGUCCUGGACUAGAGAGUCGUUCACCCGUACUUACACUGUCACUGCAUUUGCUUGAAAAAUGAUUUUACUAGCAAUAGGUUCUCGUGUUUCGAUAGCUUUCUAAGUGGUUUAUUUACAGGUAUUCAAAAUAUAAAUUAUUGCUAUGAUUUUAGAAAAUAUUGUAUUUUUUUUUUGUAAUUUAUAUUAAAAUUUUGCGACAAUUGUUUGGCUGGAAUUUUUUUUAAUAAGAAAAAUAGUGAUCUCACACUGAUCCAUAGUUGAGCCAAUUACCUAGUUAAAAGCUACCUCCAUAUUUUUUAUUUUUUACCCUAAUGCAUGUCUGAUUCUUUUAAAAUUUUACGUUAUAUAUAUUAAACAAAAAUUAUAAUUUUAAUCAUUGAAAAAUUCAUGACAGACAUCAUUUGAAUAAUUUUUUUUUUUUUUGAAAAAUACAGAGCUAGAGAUAAUGCUAUAAUUGAUUGAAUAAGAAGGCUACAACUUGAUGAUAACUUUAUUGCAAUGUUGCGUGAUCUCAAUAUAUUAUUGGCUUUUGUGUGAGUAAAAGUUGCUGGCUCGUGUUUUACUAAUUUGCCUUUGUAUUUGACUGGCUCGACAAAGAAUCGAUUUACCUCAUACCCAAAUUACAAACAUCGAAACCGGAUCUGUCAUUACGUUAAUUGGCCUCCUAAAAUAAUCAAUCACUUUCUCUUUAGUCUACCAUCCACUCUUUCCAGUCGCUUACUUUCAUUCUAAUCAUCUAAACGGCUCUUUGCUACUGUUUCUUCUAUUCGUCAUUGUUCUUGUUCUGUUAUUAUUUAGCUUUGCUCACUCCUCAGUCUCAUUUCUUAUUCUGUACCCAUCAGCUCUUUUACUUUCCUUUGGCUUUCUUCGCUUCUAUGUUUUUCUCAGGAUUCGAGAUGCUGGAAAUCAUUGUGACUAUCGUCUUGGAACUUGUAAAAUGCUUGGCUCCUCCAACUGAACGCCAACUUGUGCAUUUGCGAAAGCGGAACUACAAUGCCAACUUUGAGAAUAUCAAGGCGGAAAUGGAGAAGUUGAAGGUUGAACGUACGAGCAUUCAGCACAGAGUUUCAGAGGCGGAAGAAAAAGGGGAAGAGAUUGAAGAGAAGGUUGAAAAGUGGCUGGUUAGUGCGAAGUGCGAACGGCAUCAUUGACCGGGCAGCCAAAUUCAUUGAAGAUGAGGAGUCAACGAAUAAGCGCUGUGUCAAGGGCUUGAGUCCUAUUUGGAAGAGUCGCUAUCAGCUUAGCAAGAAAGCAGAGACGGAGGUGAAGGGCAUUAUUGAACUAGGAGAAGAAGUUAGGAAGUUUGAUACUGUUUCCCACCGUACCAUUCGGGAGGAGAUAUGGCUUAAGUCUAGCAAUGGUUACGAGGCCUUCGAAUCAAGACUUUCUACUUUGCAGUCUAUAAAAAAUGCAUUGACGGAGGCGAAUGUCAGCAUUAUUGGGGUGCACGGCAUAGGCGGCAUUGGAAAGACCACACUGGUGAAGGAGUUUGCUAGGCAAGCCAGGGAAAAGAAGCUGUUUUAUCGGGUGGUUUUAUCAGAGGUUUCAUAAACUCCAGAGACAAAAAAGAUUCAAGGGGAAAUUGCAGAGAAGUUAGGUCUGGAGUUGUCCGAUGAAGCUGAAUAUAGAAGAGCUAGCAAGCUGUAUGACCGAUUGAAGAGUGAGAAUAAGAUUCUUGUGAUUCUACAUAAUAUCUGGAAACAUCUUGAAUUGGAGACGGUUGGAAUUCCUUUUGGAAAUAAUCAUAAAGGAUGUAGACUGUUGCUGACAGCACGAGAUAAUACUGUGCUUUUAGGUAUGGGCUCCAAAGAUAACUUUUUGAUUGGCAAUCUAACUGAACAAGAAGCCUGGAGAUUGUUUAAGAUAAUGAAUGGUGAUGAUGUUGAAAAUUGUAAGUUCAAGUCUACAGCAAUUAAUGUAGUUAAGGCAUGUGGAGGUUUGCCCAUUGCGUUGAGGGCACUGAGAAACAAGAGUCUCCAUGAAUGGAAGAAUGCCUUGCGAGAGCUCCGAACGCCUUCAAUGGUAAACUUCGAAGGUGUGUCUGCAGAGACUUAUUCAAGUAUUGAGCUGAGUUUCAAUUAUUUAAAAGGUGAGCAAGUCAAGAAAAUUUUUCUGCUUUGUCGUCUAGUAGGUAACAGUGUUUGGUUUUCAGACUUAUUUAGAUACUCCAUGGGUUUGGGCAUAUUUCAAGGAGUCAACAUUCCCUUCAUAUUUACCAAAGGUAAGUGAUAAAUCCUACAUAUCCCGCUCAAGAAUGCAUAUGUUUUUUCAAUCUCAAGUACCUAAAGUUUUCUUCUAAGUUUAUAAAAAUUUCAGCACCAUCUCCCUAUAAUUCUCCAAGCUCACGACAAAGCUAUAUAAGUGAUGCGUUAUGCCAAAACAACACAUGACACCCAUUCACCUAGUACGUACCCAGAGAACACGAGGAGAAGCUACCGUAAAAGCCAUUUUUACGUGGGAAGAAAACUUCAGCUACUAGCUACCAGAGAGAACUAUGCAUUCCCAAACUGUCCAAGCCUGGACAAUUCAAGAAUUAUUAAUAGACAUAUGAUCCUCACUAUCAUCCAAAGAUGACACUAAUACAACAUGUGUCUAUUAAUAAUUUCUUAAACAAGUCUAAGCUUUCAAUGCACGUAUCAAAAGUUUAAAAUUGAAUCUGAAAUUUGAAUAACACAUAAAUAUCAUAAAUCUCUUCAAUUUAUUCCUGAUACAAUGUAGCAUUAUUUCACAUAUCAUUUCUUAAGCAAAACCAUAAAAAAUACAAACAAUAAAUACAUUUUCCCACUGAUGCAGAUUAUGUUUACUGAGCAAUAAGUUUUAUGUCAUUCAUGUUGAAAUACUUCUGCCUAUUCUUUCAACAUAUAACUAGUACAUACACAAAAAAAAAACCUGGUGGUGAAUCUUGCAAAAUCUUCCUUUUUUCUUUUUUUUUUCUUUUUCUUCUUUUUUUGGGGUGGGGUGUUGGGGGAACUAUGAAUCUUGCAAAUCCUCAAGAAGCCAUGUUAAGACAAGGCCAGCUUACUAUUGGGGUAUGAAAGAUAAAACCUUUUAUUUCCUUUUCAAAAUAAAAAGGACAUUGACAGUGUUAAAAAAAAUCUAGAGGAUUUCAGGCCUCCAGAUCCUUACAAAUCAAGGAUAUUAAAAAAAAUUACUUAGAGGAGAAAGGUUAUGCUCAUUUGUAUCUUGUUAGAAGAAAUUGAUCCAAAGCCUCAGUUUUAAUUUGCUUCAUAUAGCCAAUGACUAGGUGUUUAAAAACCAAUGAAUAUUUUUAUAAGAAAUCAACAAUAUUGUUGAAAGAAAAACCAAAUAAAAAUAAUAAAGCCAAUGAAUAGAUCAAGGCUCUUUGUGGUCUAAAACUAAUCAAACUAAGUUGUGGGCAAAGGCAAAUAUGUUUGUUUGGUCAAUAAUAAGCUCAACAAGUCACUAAUAACCACCUAAUCACUAUUCCUUAUGCUAUGCAAUAUAAUGGCCUGGGUAAUGGCGCCAAGGCAGACAAUAAGUAGCUAGCCAGUUAUGAUAGUUGAUUAACUUAACCUACUGGAAAUCUGAAGACCAAAACGAAGAAGCUUUGUCUAGAACUAGAAUAGGAACAUUCGUACCCAAAACUAAUAUACACAAUUAAGAAACUUGAUUAUAUGUAUAUUUCUGUUGGCCACACUUAAAGAGAAUUUCCAAAAGAUGCUAAGGUACACCAAAUCCCACUAUUUCAUACUCAUAAACACAAAAAACCAUGGUAAAAAUUAAUGACUAUAUCAAAUAAAAUCGGUGAUAGGACAUUGAGAUUAGGACAACUUGAUUUGUAUACCGUAAAAUAACUAUAUCUGCAUGGUGAACUAUAUUUCUGUUAGAAGUCUGAAGUUUUCUAUUAAAUUUUUUUCUCUGUUGGGUAAACCACUUAACUGAAGUGCUUAAGCCAAUUUUGACAAUCAUAGACAUAAAAGUAUUAAUAGGCUCAUUCAAGUGAAAUGAGCAUUAUUUCACACAUCCUUUAGGUUUUUAAGUCAUUUAGAAGUCAUUCAUGUUAAAAAAAAAAUUCAUAUACUUUCAAUAUAAUUAGAACAUACACAAUUAAUUAAUUAAAUAAAUCUGUUUCAGCUAGUAUAGGAACUUAAUUAAUCAAAGCUAGUAGUUAUAGCUAGGACUUGAACGAGGCACCUUUCAAAGUUCAAGAAGAGCAUCUGAACAUAAUGAAAGCACUUUGUAGAUAUGGUAAUGAUGCUUUACAUCUACAUGCUCUUACACAGCAUGAACUUUCAUUUACUCCAAGCUCUUAUUCUACAAGUCAAUUCAGUUUGUAGAUGCACGCCAUUGUAAAAACUUUUGUAUUAUAAUUUCUGAAAAUAGAAUGUAACAUUAUUAAUAUAGAAUCAGCAAUGUAUAUAACUUAUCAGACAAUAUAACAAGCACUUGGUGAGCAUACAAGAUAAACUAAAACAAGUCAUCCAGAAAAUGAAACUAAAACCCAAGCUCCGCUAUUCAUUGUAGAUGCUUUAAACAUAAAAUUAAACUAAAUCUAAUAGCAAAACAUUAGAAUGGAUGUUGGAAUUAAAGCUAAAUUCAAUAGUAAUUCAAAUGAAUCCAUUUGAACUUUGUAAAUUCCGCAGAACAAAAUUAAUUUGAGUGAGCAAACUCACCAAUGGAACAAGAACACAGGGGCUUCAACUUGUAGGAAUAAAAAAAUAUUGCUGGCGGGACAAAAAUUGACAAUAAUGGCUACAAUACGAAUUUAAAAAAAAUUCAAAAUCUAUAAUUACAAGCUAAGUAAGAGAAGAAACUCAUAAUCACAAGCUUACCUCAAAAGAUGAAGGGAGAAUACGAUGAAGAAGAAGAUGCCCGGUGUUUUACGCCGUUCGCCGGCAACCAGUUAGGUUUACGAUGGUGGCUAGUCCAGCGAAUAGUUUUCUAACUGGAAAUAAAUUUAAAUUUCUAAAAUAGUGCUAUGCCGAACGGCUCUUUACCGUCACGUGGUUAGUAACAUAUGUGACAGCAGUGUGGCCGUCACAUAAAGGGUAACAAAAGCAACUCGAGGUUACAAAGUUAGAAGUUAGUGGCAUGCGUAAUGG